CUGCCAAUCAGAUCUGAUCCCUGCCCUGGGAACUCCACAUGCUACUGGCGGGGGCAGGGCGGGGGGGGGGGGGGGGGAAUGAACAAAAAAGGAAAAAAAAAAGAAAAGACAGGAUAUUCAAAACUGAAAAUUAUAGGCCAGUCUCACUUAUAAAUAUGGGAAAUUUCUAAAUCAAUAUUUGUGAACAAAAUCCAGCAGAAUAUUAAACAUGUACCAUCACAUCUGUUUCAGAUAUUCAAGAAUGGGAAUUUAGGGAAAUAUUUGUAUGGACUGAGUGCAAGGAUGAACCUUUUCAUUGACAAACUUAAAUGCUAUAAAGAAAACAUCAUUAAUCUCCUAACACAGCCUGGAAAAAGUACAGAGCAAUAAACAUCAAGAGAAAAUGCCUGCAGCUGACAUCAAAGUCUUGCUAAUCCUAAGACAAAGUUGAUGAGACUGAAGGGAGAAGGGCUGGAAAAAGGUGUCCAUAAAGCAGAGCCUGCCAAUGCAUAGAGCUGGGAGUUGGAAACAGGCAAUUUUAUAGGCUGGAAAGAAAAACUGCUGCUGGCUCUUCCUCAAGCCUUUCUCUUAAGGAGUCUGCUCCUGGUCCUGUGUAACCAGCUGCAUCUUCCCAGCCACUUUCUCUUGGAGUUAUCUUAAAUUCCAGCCAGCUCUGCCCAGAAAAUUUGCACCUCAUCAUGACGGAAAACUUCUCAUGUCCUAUUUCUGGUCAAGAGGAUUUAUUUACAACCCCCUUGCCAUCUGAGCUGAUCUUCAAGAUGCAUCUGGUUCCCAAUUCUGGACUCUUUCAUUGCUCUAGUGUAGAAGGUGGCAGCUGCCAACGCCCUUUUGUAUUUAAGUUAAAAUUAAAUUAAACUAAAAUUCGGGGUGGCACGACUGAAAUGCUGGACGGCCCCACGCGGCUUGUGGCUCCUGCACUGGACCAGGAAGAGAACCCCUCUGUGAAUGCAGUGUUCUUUCCACCGCAGGGCCGGUAGAGGGCGCUUCUGCCUCUUCCGUUGGGUGGACCCAUUGCCUUUCUGAUACCCACACUGCUGAGUCCUUGAGAGCUAGGUUAGUACUUUGUACCUGGCACAUACGCAAAUCACUGAAUAGUCUGUGAUCUGUUUCCAUCCUGCAAAUAAGUUCAUUCGUACCUUUUUUUAAAGCCUCUCUAUAUAAGUGAUAUCACAUGAUGUCUGUCUCUCACUGUCUGACUUACUUCACUUAGUGUGGUAAUUUCUAGGUCCACCCAUGUCACUGCAAAUGCCAUUAUUUCAUUCUUUUUGAUGGCUGAGUAAUAUUCCACUGUAUAUAUGUACCACAUCUACUUUAUCCAUUCCUUUGUCUAUGGACACUUGAAAAACUUAUGGUUAUCAAAGGGGACAGGGGGAAGGAGGCAGGGAGGGAUGGACUGGGGGUUUGGGGUGGAAAUGUCCUAAGAUUCUGUUGCGAUGAUGGUUAUACAACUAUAAAUAUAAUAAAAUUCAAAAAGUUAAAAUAAGAAUAAAUAAA
RNAcentral lists this long non-coding RNA (1494 nucleotides) under Sus scrofa (pig). RNAcentral describes it as "lncRNA (ENSSSCG00060062389.1)". The record is from RNAcentral. Lineage: Eukaryota; Metazoa; Chordata; Mammalia; Artiodactyla; Suidae.